RNAcentral lists this ribosomal RNA (468 nucleotides) under uncultured bacterium. Its description in RNAcentral is "partial 16S ribosomal RNA". It matches the Rfam family "Bacterial small subunit ribosomal RNA", at positions 38 to 507 of the family's 1533-position model. The record is from RNAcentral.
GGGGGGGGGUGGGGGGGGGCGGGGCGCGUGCGGGUCGGGCGGGGGGGCCCUGCUUUUGUGGGGGGCUCGGGUGGCGAGCGGGUGGGUGACACGUGCGUCACCUGCCCUUGGCUUUGGGGUAACUUCAGGGCACUGGGGCUCCUACCGGGUCGGAGCUCCUGCUGCAUGGGGGGGGUUGGCACGUUUCGGCGGUUGGGGAUGGACUCGCGGCUUAUCAGCUGGUUGGUGGGGUAGUGGCUUACCACGGCUUUGACGGGUAGCCGGCCUGAGAGGGUGACCGGCCACAUUGGGACUGAGAUACGGCCCAGACUCCUACGGGAGGCAGCAGUGGGGAAUAUUGCACAAUGGGCGGAAGCCUGAUGCAGCAACGCCGCGUGCGGGAUGACGGCCUUCGGGUUGUAAACCGCUUUCGCCUGUGACGAAGCGUGAGUGACGGUAAUGGGUAAAGAAGCACCGGCUAACUACGUG